Molecule: ribosomal RNA, 253 nt
Filed under: uncultured bacterium
Lineage: Bacteria
Description: partial 16S ribosomal RNA
Rfam family: Bacterial small subunit ribosomal RNA
Source: RNAcentral
UACGUAGGCAGCGAGCGUUGUUCGGAGUUACUGGGCGUAAAGGGUGUGUAGGCGGUUGUUUAAGUUUGGUGUGAAAUCUCCCGGCUCAACCGGGAGGGUGCGCCGAAUACUGAAUGACUAGAGUGCGGGAGAGGAAAGUGGAAUUCCUGGUGUAGCGGUGAAAUGCGUAGAUAUCAGGAGGAACACCGGUGGUGUAGACGGCUUUCUGGACCGUAACUGACGCUGAGACACGAAAGCGUGGGGAGCAAACAGG